This 329-nucleotide ribosomal RNA is filed under the name Capnocytophaga sp. W324. RNAcentral describes it as "bacterial SSU rRNA". It matches the Rfam family "Bacterial small subunit ribosomal RNA", at positions 106 to 434 of the family's 1533-position model. Lineage: Bacteria; Pseudomonadati; Bacteroidota; Flavobacteriia; Flavobacteriales; Flavobacteriaceae. The record is from RNAcentral.
GUGCGUAACGCGUAUACAAUCUGCCUUUCACUGGGGGAUAGCCCGAAGAAAUUUGGAUUAAUACCCCAUAGUAUAGUAGUGUGGCAUCACACAACUAUUAAAGCCUUGGUGGUGAAAGAUGAGUAUGCGUUCUAUUAGCUAGUUGGAGAGGUAACGGCUCCCCAAGGCGAUGAUAGAUAGGGGUUCUGAGAGGGAUGUCCCCCACACUGGUACUGAGAUACGGACCAGACUCCUACGGGAGGCAGCAGUGAGGAAUAUUGGACAAUGGUCGGAAGACUGAUCCAGCCAUGCCGCGUGCAGGAUGACGGCCUUAUGGGUUGUAAACUGCU